RNAcentral lists this ribosomal RNA (253 nucleotides) under uncultured bacterium. Its description in RNAcentral is "partial 16S ribosomal RNA". It matches the Rfam family "Bacterial small subunit ribosomal RNA", at positions 524 to 776 of the family's 1533-position model. The record is from RNAcentral.
UACGGGGGGGGCAAGCGUUGUUCGGAAUCACUGGGCGUAAAGCGCACGUAGGCGGAUCUUUAAGUCAGGGGUGAAAUCCCAGAGCUCAACUCUGGAACUGCCUUUGAUACUGGCGACCUAGAGUCCGGAAGAGGAGAGUGGAAUUCCCGGUGUAGCGGUGAAAUGCGCAGAUAUCGGGAAGAACACCCGUGGCGAAGGCGGCUCUCUGGGACGGUACUGACGCUGAGACGCGAAAGCGUGGGGAGCGAACAGG